This 442-nucleotide ribosomal RNA is filed under the name uncultured Aminobacterium sp. Its description in RNAcentral is "bacterial SSU rRNA". It matches the Rfam family "Bacterial small subunit ribosomal RNA", at positions 338 to 795 of the family's 1533-position model. Lineage: Bacteria; Thermotogati; Synergistota; Synergistia; Synergistales; Aminobacteriaceae. The record is from RNAcentral.
CCUACGGGUGGCAGCAGUGGGGAAUAUUGGGCAAUGGGCGCAAGCCUGACCCAGCGACGCCGCGUGAGGGAAGAAGGCCUUUGGGUCGUAAACCUCUGUUGUAUGGGAAGAAGGAAGUGACGGUACCAUACGAGGAAGUCCCGGCUAACUACGUGCCAGCAGCCGCGGUAAUACGUAGGGGACGAGCGUUGUCCGGAAUUACUGGGCGUAAAGGGCGCGCAGGCGGAUAUUUAAGUCAGCUGUAAAAGGCAUGAGCUCAACUCAUGUAUGCGGUUGAAACUGGGUAUCUAGAGUGCUGGAGAGGUAAGUGGAAUUCCAUGUGUAGCGGUGGAAUGCGUAGAUAUAUGGAGGAACACCGAUGGCGAAGGCAGCUUACUGGGCCGGAAUUGACGCUGAGGCACGAAAGCGUGGGGAGCAAACAGGAUUAGAUACCCCUGUAGUC